This 1359-nucleotide ribosomal RNA is filed under the name Triticum aestivum (bread wheat). RNAcentral describes it as "partial small subunit ribosomal RNA". The record is from RNAcentral. Lineage: Eukaryota; Viridiplantae; Streptophyta; Magnoliopsida; Poales; Poaceae.
AUGACUCCCUUUAGCUAUGGCGGCCCAGGUAGCAGAGUCCUCAUCACCACAAGACAUGACACUGUUGCCCGGAGCAUGAAAGUUGUGUAUUGCCACCAUGUUGACAAAUUAGGUCCUAUAGAUGCAUGGUCAUUGCUCAAGAAGCAGGUACUCACAUCAGGAAAAGAUGAACCUGAGCUUGACAUGCUAAAAGAUAUUGGGUUGCAAAUUAUAGCAAAAUGUGAUGGUUUGCCACUAGCUAUAAAAGUUAUGGGGGGGCUCCUAUGCAAGAAGGAGAAAACACGACGUGAUUGGGAAGACAUCUUGAAUGAUGAUAUAUGGUCAGUAUCUCAAAUUCCAGAGGAGCUAAACUAUGCAAUACAUCUUAGCUAUGAUGAUUUGUCCCCUUGCUUACAAGAAUGCUUUCUGCACUUCUCCCUUAAGCCUAAAAAGACAAUACUAAGUGUCAAUGAAGUAGUGUCCAUGUGGAUUGGUGAAGGGUUGGUUAAUGGAGGCUCGGGUAUUCUAGAACUUGAAGGAAAAAGGUACUACAAUGAGCUAAUAUUAAGGAACCUUAUUGAGCCAGAUACAAACUAUCCUGGCCAGUUUAUUGGAAAUAUGCAUGAUGUCAUUCGCUCAUUUGCUCACUUUGUGGCUAGAGAUGAAGCGUUGGUAGCUCAGAGUGGAGCUACUGCUAAAAACAAACUUAGAUCACAUAGUUUUCUUAGGUUGUCCAUAGAAACCAAAGGAGCUGAAUCAGAUGAAUUUGAAUGGAGAGAUUUAACAGGGCAUAAAUUAUUGAGACUACUAAUGUUAUCUGGGAACUUCAAAAUGCAGCCUGGUGAUUCCUUGGUUACUUUCUCAAGCCUACGAACUCUAUUUAUAGAAUCCGCAAAUUUUGCAGCAUUGCUUGAAUCUGUGUGUCAGCUGAAGCACUUGAGGUAUUUGUCACUAAGAAGUUGCACAGAUAUAUCUAGACUGCCAAAGAACAUCCACGAGUUGAAAUUCCUCCAACACAUUAACCUUGAAGGUUGUGGAGGCAUUGUAAAACUUCCUGAUAGCAUUGUUAAGCUACGAGGAUUGAGGUAUCUUUCAACUAAUGACACCCAUGUAAACAGUAUUCCUAGGGGUUUCCGUGCUCUAACAAAUUUGUGGGUACUAUUUGGAUUUCCAACAUAUAUGGAUGGUGAUUGGUGUAGUUUGGAAGAGUUGGGGCCUCUUUCUCAGCUUAAGGAGCUUGGACUAAAGGGUCUAGAGAAUGUAUUAGAGGCCUCGUCCAUUGCAAAGGCUAGAGUAGGUGCAAAACAAUAUCUUACUGCACUUACCUUAGAAUGCAGCAGUAGACUAGGAGAUGAUGGGUUGCUCAAAGCCCGAGUCUAA